This 73-nucleotide transfer RNA is filed under the name Coccidioides immitis H538.4. It matches the Rfam family "tRNA". Rfam says of the family: Transfer RNA (tRNA) molecules are approximately 80 nucleotides in length. Their secondary structure includes four short double-helical elements and three loops (D, anti-codon, and T loops). Lineage: Eukaryota; Fungi; Ascomycota; Eurotiomycetes; Onygenales; Onygenaceae. The record is from Rfam by way of RNAcentral.
GGGGUUAUAGUUUAAUUGGGAAAAACUAGGACUUUGCACGUCUUGAACUCAGGUUCGAUUCCUGAUAACUCCA